Molecule: ribosomal RNA, 397 nt
Filed under: uncultured bacterium
Lineage: Bacteria
Description: partial 16S ribosomal RNA
Rfam family: Bacterial small subunit ribosomal RNA
Source: RNAcentral
AUACGUAGGGGGCGAGCGUUGUCCGGAAUGACUGGGCGUAAAGGGCGUGUAGGCGGCUGUCUAAGUCUGGAGUGAAAGUCCUGCUUUCAAGGUGGGAAUUGCUUUGGAGACUGGAUGGCUUGAGUGCGGAAGAGGUAAGUGGAAUUCCCAGUGUAGCGGUGAAAUGCGUAGAGAUUGGGAGGAACACCAGUGGCGAAGGCGACUUACUGGGCCGUAACUGACGCUGAGGCGCGAAAGCGUGGGGAGCGAACAGGAUUAGAUACCCUGGUAGUCCACGCGGUAAACGAUGAAUGCCAGGUGUUGCGGGUAUCGACCCCUGCAGUGCCGGAGUAAACACAAUAAGUAUUCCGCCUGGGGAGUACGGCCGCAAGGUUGAAACUCAAAGGAAUUGGCGGGG